Molecule: small RNA, 52 nt
Filed under: Staphylococcus aureus
Lineage: Bacteria; Bacillati; Bacillota; Bacilli; Caryophanales; Staphylococcaceae
Description: HMPRFS0000_2096
Source: RNAcentral
GUGAUAAUGACCAAUUUGAUUAUAAUGAAUAUAAUCGUAUUGCAAUAAGCGA